Molecule: long non-coding RNA, 498 nt
Organism: Misgurnus anguillicaudatus (oriental weatherfish)
Lineage: Eukaryota; Metazoa; Chordata; Actinopteri; Cypriniformes; Cobitidae
Source: RefSeq, a predicted model, not a curated record
UGCUCCCUGUAUCUCUCAACCUCUGGACGGGAGUUCACCCCCAUGCCGGCUGCUCCGCACUGACGUGUCCGCUUUUUUCUUUUGCGCUCUCUCCACUCUCUUCCGGAUGGGCUGGGGUGUCAAGCGAGAGGCUGGUCAGCCGGGGUGCGUGCUGUGGCCGGAAAGAGGGAGAGGAAUUUACAGCUCUGCAGUGGCAUAAUGACUAAAACUACUUCUGUGGGAACACCUUGGAAAAUGGUUCCCUCGCAGAGCAGCAUGGUGAAGCGCGUUGAAGCCAUUGUUGUUGGUAAUGGUGACAUCAGCACCAGCUUCCAGCAGCACAGACAGCAUGUCAUCCCUCUUCUUGCUGAUGGCAUCAUGCAGAGGCGUGUCUCCCUCUGAAUCCUGCAGGGGGCAGCACCAAAAUACACACUCACUUUAAAGCAUGAAACAAUGUUAAUAAAUCCAAAGAAGCAUUCCUGAAGUUGAUACACAGAAUAAAAAAGAUGAACAAAAAGA